Molecule: long non-coding RNA, 1050 nt
Filed under: Gallus gallus (chicken)
Lineage: Eukaryota; Metazoa; Chordata; Aves; Galliformes; Phasianidae
Description: lncRNA (ENSGALG00010029876.1)
Source: RNAcentral
GAAUGUUUUGUCCCUGGCUGCUUCCUUCUGGACUCUGCGGUCUGCGCCGUCCCGGAGGAGCACAGAUAGCUCUGAUUUGCAGCUGCAGGUGCAGGCUUCUUGUAGCUGGGCACAGAUAUGUUCAGAGCUUUGAAGACCAAGACCUUGAACUAGCAGCGGAUGCAGAUUAAAAACCCUCUUCAGCUUCCUAAAGUGCAACUGAACUUCUGCAUGAGGCGACGAAGGAAAACAACCCCCUGGUUUCCAGGGGCUUUUUUAAACGUAGCAGGGAUUUGAUGUUUUAUCUUUGUUGCCUUUCCUCUAAAUGAUUUCAAACUACCCAUGGAUACGAAUGCCUCUAAUUUCAAGGCUUUCCUUUUGGGAUACAACAAAGUGAAGGCAGCCACUCAGAAGUUUGGCUGCAGGCAGGAGAAGAACAGAUGUGUCCAUGAGCGGACACAGCCAUCCGUGGGAGCUGGAAGAACAGAGGGGAAUGGGAAGUUCUGGUUUCAGAAGCUUGUCCUCGGAGCUGGAUGUAAGAGGGUUCUGCCCUAAGAACACAGGCUCUACAGGCUGAUUGUACAGCAGCAGCUCCUCUACUGGUCUUUACAAAACCCAUUUGAGGUCUACUAAUGAAAAGUGCUAUGGAAUUAUUGGUCUGACUUCUAUUCCUGCAGAAUUAGUGCGGCCCGAAGCCAGAGGGAGCCCUUCUGCUGGGAGGUUUGGAUCACCUUUGCUCAAGGGAAACUGAUGCAGGCUGCGUAUCGGCAGCGUAGGGGAACGAACCGGAUGAGAGGAGAAUAUUUAUUUAUUAUGGGAAUGUCUGAAGUUAUCCUUUCUGCUGGCUUUUGGCUCAAGGAGGAGCACCCCGCGUGCCACCCAGAGUCAAAGGGUAAGUGCAGUGAAAAAUAACAAUCAAAGAAAAAAAAACCAGCAAGGAAAAAGAAAAAAAAAAGAAAGGAAAAGGAAAGAGGUAGCGUUGCAAGUAAAGCUGGGAGAUUGCCAUUAAGAAGAAAAAAAAAAAAAAAUUAAAAAGGUGGGGGUGGUCACCAUGGGGCCGGCUGGGCUCCG